RNAcentral lists this RNase P RNA (210 nucleotides) under Vibrio parahaemolyticus. Its description in RNAcentral is "bacterial RNase P". It matches the Rfam family "Bacterial RNase P class A", at positions 82 to 303 of the family's 367-position model. Rfam says of the family: Ribonuclease P (RNase P) is a ubiquitous endoribonuclease, found in archaea, bacteria and eukarya as well as chloroplasts and mitochondria. The record is from RNAcentral. Lineage: Bacteria; Pseudomonadati; Pseudomonadota; Gammaproteobacteria; Vibrionales; Vibrionaceae.
CGCCUAGUGAGAGCGAUCUUAAGGAUAGUGCAACAGAAAUAAACCGCCCUUAAUAGGGUAAGGAUGGAAAGGCGAGGUAAGAGCUCACCAGCAUAUAGGUGACUAUAUGGCUAUGUAAACCCCACCUGGUGCAAGGCCAAGAUAGGAAUAAGAGAUGUUGCUCGCAUCUCCCGGUAGGUAGGCCGCUCGAGCCUAUUGGUGACAAUAGGC